AAUCAACGCUGGCGGCGUGCCUAACACAUGCAAGUCGAACGAGAAAGUGGAGCAAUCCAUGAGUACAGUGGCGCACGGGUGAGUAACACGUGACUAACCUACCCUUGAGUGGGGGAUAACUGAGGGAAACCUUAGCUAAUACCGCAUAAUACCUACGGGUCAAAGGAGCAAUUCGCUCCAGGAGGGGGUCGCGGCCGAUUAGUUAGUUGGCGGGGUAAUGGCCCACCAAGACAGUGAUCGGUAUCCGGCCUGAGAGGGCGCACGGACACACUGGAACUGAAACACGGUCCAGACUCCUACGGGAGGCAGCAGUGGGGAAUUUUGCGCAAUGGGGGAAACCCUGACGCAGCAACGCCGCGUGGAGGAUGAAGUACUUCGGUACGUAAACUCCUUUCGAUCGGGACGAUAAUGACGGUACCGGAAGAAGAAGCCCCGGCUAACUUCGUGCCAGCAGCCGCGGUAAUACGAGGGGGGCAAGCGUUGUUCGGAAUUAUUGGGCGUAAAGGGUGCGUAGGCGGUUUGGUAAGUCUUGUGUGAAAUCUCUGGGCUCAACUCAGAGACUGCACGAGAAACUGCCGGGCUUGAGUGUGGGAGAGGUGAGUGGAAUUCCUGGUGUAGCGGUGAAAUGCGUAGAUAUCAGGAGGAACACCUGUGGCGAAAGCGGCUCACUGGACCACAACUGACGCUGAUGCACGAAAGCUAGGGGAGCAAACAGGAUUAGAUACCCUGGUAGUCCUAGCCCUAAACGAUGACUGCUUGGUGUGACGGGUACCCAAUCCCGCCGUGCUGUAGCUAACGCGUUAAGCAGUCCGACCUGGGGAGUACGGUCGCAAGGCUG
RNAcentral lists this ribosomal RNA (838 nucleotides) under uncultured bacterium. RNAcentral's name for it is "bacterial SSU rRNA". It matches the Rfam family "Bacterial small subunit ribosomal RNA", at positions 28 to 896 of the family's 1533-position model. The record is from RNAcentral.